CUUUACAGUUCUCAUGCCAGAAAGCAGGAAGUGCAGAGCUAUCUUCAAGCACAUGUAGUAAGAAGCUGUGAAGUUUAGCUGAGAAGCACAUGGUGAAUUGUUAUUGAAGAUAAAGGGUGAAGUGGGGAAAGACUUUACUUGCUGGGCAUUUCCAGGGAUGCUACUGGUAGGAUGAUGGUUUUGAUGUUAAUAUAUUUCAGUUGUUUAAUGUUAAAUGCAAAUUUUGUUGAUAAGAGUGCUAAAGUUAACAUAGCUAAUUUCUAACUGCCUUGUUCUCAUGUUAGCUCAUGUAAUAGCAUGAUAGUAGUAGCAUGGGAGUAAAACCACGGUAGUGACUGUGCCUUUGUAGUAAUGUUGCAUAGUUAAAUGAAUGUAAGGUUAAGGAGAACUUUAUAUUUGUUUGUAUAUUUGAAGGUAGGCAGUUUUUGGUAAUUGCUGUAUUUUGUGUUUUGUUUUCUCUUUCUUGUAAAGGUUUUCAACCUGACGCAAUCUGACAUAGCCUGAUGUAAACUGAUUUAAUCUGAGUUAAACUUCUGAUUAUUUGCACAACUGCAAAUUGUAACCAGAUCUAACUAAUAACAAAUCAUAAUUGAACAUGAGAAGCUAACUAAAUAAAACAAAGAAGAAAGAUUAAAGAAGAAAACGUGUGAGUUGAUUCCAACUGAUCUAACCCUGUUGAUGACCAAGGCCUUUUUCAAGUUUGGGCAGAAGUAAAGUAGAAAAUCCCCUGAGAACUUGACAGUUGAAAACCACCGGCACAGUUGAAAAGCAACUGCACAGUUGAGAAGCAACACUGCAGUACAGCUGAAGACUGGCGUUGUGCCACCUGAAACCCACCACAGUGCUGCUUGAUAACCAAGGAACUGCAUCAAGGCUAGAAGAUUAACGGCUUCAGUGAGUCCAGAGAGUGGAUGCAGAGAAGAGUUGCUGAACAACAAGGUUAUUCAAGAGGCACCAGGAAUCCAAUCAAUUCAUCUGAUUCAUUAAUUCAAGAGUUGAAGAGAAAAGAAUUGUUAAAAUCAAGAUGGCAGUCGAAGCUCUCGGCAAAACACUGGAGCAGUUAAAGAAAGACAGAACAGUUGCAAAGAUCUCCUUUACAAAGCAAGCGAACUAUCUCUGCCGAAAAGCAGGUGAUUUAACUGAGUUAGAACUCAGACAAGAAUUUAUGAAGCUCUCUGCCGAUUCAAGGAAAGUCAUUGAGGCCAAUGAUGAUUACAGGAUUGGGUUAGAAGCAGAGCUUGUAAGCAAUAAAGAAGGUGAAGAUGCUGAGCUUAGUAUGGAGCAGGAUGCAAGCCUAAAGGACUAUGCCAGUGAAUGUGAGCAAAAGUUCAAUGAUGUGAAGCAGAUUGUUCAAACAAGCCUCUGGAGCAGAUAUGGAUCAGAAAUGCUAGAGGCUGCUUUUGAAGAAGCAGAAAAAGCCAGUAGGCAUGCGUAUGGAAUACCUGUGGAAAGCAGUAACUGUGAAGGAUUUGAAGUCCACCAUACUGUACUGGAAAAGUUGAUCAAAGAAACAUCUAGCGCAUUCGCAGCCUGGGAGUCAUGGAUACCUAGUGCAGAGGAAAGUGACUUUCGUAAGCGAAGCAAGGACCUGAGAGUGGCUUACAAUGAGCUUGACAUGAGGAAAGCUGACUUUGCCAGAGCACGAAGGAUUGCUGUAGAGAAGCAAGGUGCAGACGUGAAUCAGGAACCAACUGGGCCAAGAAUACCAGUAGUGAAAAUUAAGCCAACCAAACUGCCCACGUUUAGUGGCUAUAAAAGAGACUUCCACCGCUGGAAGUCAGACUGGGAAAGCCUUCAGAAGCAGGGAGAGCCAACCGGUUCGCCAGAGGUCAAAAAGAUUCAGCUUCUUGAUAGUGUAGAAGAAAAGAUUGUGAAAGAUCUUCGCCUGUCAACCUACAGCACAGCAGAUGAUGUUUUCAGAGUGCUAGCAAAUAGGUAUGGUAAUAAAUAUGCCAUCGCUCUAGAAAUCGUUGAAGAGCUUGAGAAGAUUUUACCUGUUAAAGGAAAUCAACCUAGAAAAGUAGUAGACCUUAUCCAGACCAUAGAGAAAGCACUUGCUGAUCUCACAGAUCUAGGAAGUACCGGCGCCAUCAAAAACCCACUGGUGGUGAAGUCGUUAGAGAGCAAGCUUCCAGAGUUUGUGAAGAAGGACUGGCUGAUGUUCAUGGUGGACCCUAGCAACGGUGUGACUCAAGACAACCACUUUGAUAUGCUCCUAGCUUUUCUGAAGAAGCAGGAGGAGAUCUUUGAGAGGCUAGAUCACCUACGAAUCACAGACAAGCCAGAGAAGACAGACAAAGCAGAAAGGAAGUUCAAAAAGAAAUAUGCCUCGACUAAAGCCACAAAGAAAGAGGAUUCUGAGGAUGGGUGCAUUAUCUGUGGAGAUGAGAAACAUAAGGACAGGAUUUUCUUCUGCAAGAAGUUCAAGGGUCUGAAGCUAUCAGAAAAGGAAGCUGCUGUGAAAAGGACUGGUGCAUGCAGGGAGUGCUUGGGAUGCCAUAAGUCUGAUGAUGGCUGCAGAGACACCUAUCUGUGCAGAAAUGCAGACUGCAAGAAAAGAGGCUCCUCGGAUCACCACUUCUUUCUCUGUCCAAGAGGAAACAACAAGAGACGUGAACUUGAGAGACCUCAGACAGAGGACAGAGACAAAAAGAGCUUAACUGAGGAACAGAAGAAAUUCUUGUGUGAACUUACCCCAGAGUUAGCUGAUAGAUGCAGGAAGGCCUUCACCAAUAACUCGUUGAAGGUUAGCUGUCCUGCCAAGUGCCAGGUGAGCCUCCUCAAAGAAAGUGGAUUGAGAGAACUCCCUGUCAUUAUGAUGUUGAUGGAAGUGACCGCCAAUGCAGGUCAGAAAAUCGGAGCCCUUGUGGAUCUGGCUUCGGACACCAAUUAUAUAACUCAUAAAGCAGCCAACAGGUUGAAUCUUAGGAGUGAGAAGAUCACACUUGUUGUGCAUGGAGUUGGUGGAAUGGCUACCAAAGUAGCCACAAGAAGAUACCUCCUCAGAGUUCGAAUCAAAACCUCCAAGGGAACUGAGAGGGCUCAUGAACUAAUCUGUUAUGGGCUGAAGGAGAUCGCCAAAGUUCACCAGGUUGUUAGGCCUGAAGAGCUGAGGAAAUUCUUCCCAGAAGUUGAACUUGAGGAGCUAAGAAGACCUGAGGAGAUUGAAUUGCUCAUAAGUCACAGAGAAGGGAGACUUGCCCCACAAAGGGUGAAAGUUGUGGGAGAUCUUGUCUUGUGGGAGAGUCCUCUUGGAAAGACGGUGGGCGGAGCACACCCUGAUCUGUUUGAGCAAGUGAACAUGGCGGCACAUGAGUCAAAGACGCAUUUUGCUCGUUCUAUGAGAACAGCUGCCAUCAAAUAUGAGGAGAUCCCUACUGAGGUCCCCUUCAUGGCGAAGACACUUCACAUUCAAGACACCAUCGUUGAAUCUAGGCAUACAGCCGCAACUCACCGUGACUUCCUUGAAUGGUGGAAAUGGGACAGUAUCGGUGCAGCCUGCGAGCCGAAAUGUGGUGGAUGUCGUUGUGGGAAUUGUCAGCCUGGAGGAAAGGAGAUGACCUUAGCAGAGGAGAGGGAACUUGAAAUAAUAAAAGAUGGCCUUACGUACAUCAUAGAGGAUGAACACAGCAAGUCUCCACACUGGGAUGCAAGGUAUCCUUGGAUAAUGGACCCUGCUUGCCUUCCCAAUAACCGGAGUGGAGUUGAGGCCACCUUCUUAAGAACUGAGAGAAGGCUCAGGAAGGAACCAGAGUGGCUUGCUGCUUACACUGCUCAAGUCCACGAGAUGGUCGACCGUGGAGCUGCAAAGAGACUCACAAAGAAGAUAAUUGAGGACUGGAGAGGACCAGUUUGGUACGUGAGUCAUCUAGUAGCACCAAAUCCCCACUCAGUCACUACUCCAGUGCGCCUUGUGUGGAACAGCAGUCAAAAGUUCAAGGGAGUGAGCAUGAACGACCUGCUGCUCAAAGGGCCAGAUGUCUUGAACCCCAUCAGAGCUGUCCUGCUAAGGUUUAGGAAAGGAGUGCAUGCAGCCUUAGGAGACAUCAGGAAGAUGUAUAACUCGGUGUGGCUGGAGGAACGUGAGAUGCAUCUGCACAGAUUCCUUUGGAGGGACCGGCAGGAUGAAGAGAUAGGGGAGUACGCCGUCACAAGGGUGAAUAUAGGAGACAGGCCUGCUGGAUGCAUAGCACAGCUGGCUAUGCGUGAAACAGCAAGGCUUACCAAAUUUGUUCACCUGGAGGAGGCACGAAGGGUGCUGGAGGAAGACAGCUACGUGGAUGAUGUCCUCACAUCCCACAAUGAUGCAAACAGACUUAGUGAAGUGACCAAGGAGAUUGAGGAGAUUCUCCAAGCAGGUGGUUUUUCUCUGAAGCCAUGGGUCCAGUCUGCGCAAAGUGGGAGGCAGGAAAAUGGAGUAACAGACCUCAUGACAAGGACGCUCUCUGAGAAGCACAAAACGCUUGUCCUGCCAAAUCAGAUGAGAGAUGAGGACAACAAGGCAUUAGGCAUUGGAUAUCUAGCAGAGGAAGACAAACUCUACAUGAUGGCAUCAAUCAACUUCUCCAGAAGGAGAGGGAAGAUGAGAACGGGCCAAGACCUGUCUGUGGAGGAGGUGAGAUCAAAAACGCCUGAUCCUCUUACCAGAAGACUACUGCUGAGUCAGGUUGCUGGGCUCUAUGACCCAAUUGGACUGGUAACGCCACUAAAGCAGAAAGGUGCCAUCCUCGUUAGGAAAGCGUUCCAGGAAGCAGGGAGUGGAAAUCUGGCCCAAAACACCUGGGACAAGCCACUUUCUGAGGGCCUUAGGGAGGAGGCCAUCAAGCUGUUUGAAGAGUAUGCACAGCUGGGACAAGUAAAGUUUCAGAGAAGCCUUACACCAUUAGGCUGGAAGGGGAAACCUUGGGCUAUUACCUUCUCAGACGGUAGUGACAAGUCCUACGGAGCUGUUCUGUACCUUAGAUGGGAAACGGAUGAAGGUAUAGACAUCAGGUUGCUGGAAUCUAAGGCCAAGCUGACGCCACUGGACCAGAAAGGAGAUGCUGUAAAAGCUGAGGUCUGUGGCGCUGUGUUUGCUGCCAGACUGAGAAAGUAUGUGGAGAGGCAUGGCCGGAUGGAGAUAGAGCGCUGGUUUCAUCUAGUUGACAGCCAGACUGUAUUGGGAGCCAUUCAGCGAGACAGCUAUGGCUACCAGACGUUCUUUGCCAACAGGAUAGGAGAAAUCCAAAAGUCUGUCUCAGUUGAAGACUGGUGGUGGAUCCCAGGGAACCUCAAUAUAGCAGACACCAUUACAAGGGGAGCUUCUCUGAAAGAUCUGCAAGAGACAUGGCAAAGUGGACCGGAUUUUUUGAGGAAGCCAUUAGAAGAAUGGCCAAUAAAGUCAGCUAGGGAAGUGGUAGCUGAUGCAAGGGACAGCAUUAGUAAGCUACAGAGGAAGGCUUUUUCAGCAGUAAUGACAAGAGGUCAAGUGAAGAGAUGCCACGGGGUCACCUCCCAGGAGCACACUAAAGCUGAAGACUCUGUUGAAAGGAAUGGUGCUGAACCUACUCACCUGACUGUCUGCCCUGAUGCAUCAGAAAUUGAUCCAGGAGUGAAACAGGGUGAAGUUGCAAUGAGGAAGACACUUACCGGUUCAGCUGUCAAAAAUCUUUUGGAGGUGAAGAGGUUUAGUUGCUUGUCCAGACUGGUGAAUGUCAUUGCUUGGAUAAGACAGGCUGCUGACAUCUGGCUAGGCCUGAAAUAUCAGACCCAAAAGAAAUCAAAGUGGGAGGCAUCACCCUCAAAAGGAGAAUGUAAAGUUCUUACUCUCAGUGUUGAAAACUGUGAGUAUGCCUUCAGAACUCUCUCCUUCGCAGCUCAAGAAGGCAUAACAUUCCCUGACACUACUCUCAACCGGCUAGUGGUGGUUAAGCACAAAGAUGGACUCCUUCUCUGCGGCGGCAGAAUCCAGGCCUUCAGAGAAGAUAAGUCUUUAGUGCCCAUUCUCCCUCAAGACGCAUGGAUUUCUACACUGCUUGCUCAAGAAGCACACAAUGUCAAUCAUGAGGGUAUAGCAGGAACACUGUUGAGGAUGAGAAGAAAAGCCUGGGUGGUUAAGGGAAGAAGGAUAGCCAAAAAAGUAGUGGACAGUUGUGUCAUCUGCAAAAAAGCGAGAGGAAAGAGAUGCAAACAAAUAAUGAGCGACUUACCGCCUGAGCGGACCACACCAGCAGCCCCAUUUCAGUUCACUGCUGUGGAUCUAUUUGGGCCAUAUGAAGUGAAAGAUGAGGUGAAGAAGAGAGCGAGGCUGAAAGUGUGGGGUAUCGUGUUCAGUUGCAUGGCAUCCAGAGCCAUUCAUGCUGAUAUUGUCAGUGAUAUGUCUGCAGAAGGAUUUCUGCUGGCCUACCAGAGAUUUACGUCGCUGAGGGGACACCCCAGCAAGGUAUGGUCUGACCCAGGCACCAACUUUGUCGGGGCCAAACCUGCCCUUGAAGACCUGUAUCGGUUCCUGGAGCACCUGGAAAGAUCAGGGUUGGAGGAAAAGGCAGCCAAGCAUGGCACAAAGUGGACCUGGAAGAUACAUCCUGCGGACUCGCCUCAUAGAAAUGGAGCAGCUGAGGCAGCAGUGCGAACUGUAAAGAGAGCACUCCAGAACGUAGGGGGCAAUGGAGUCUUCACAUGGGGAGAAUUCCAGACGUUUGUGUAUAUGGCAGCCAAUCUGGCCAAUGAGAGGCCUGUAGAUGCGAGAGCACAAAGCCAAGAAGAUUGUGUGGAGUAUAUCACUCCAAACUCCCUCCUGCUGGGGCGGUCGAGCUUGAGAGGAGACCCAGGAGACUUCCAGUUUGAAGGUUACCCCUACAAAAGGCUGCGAGUGAUCCAGUCAGAGGUAAAUAAGUUUUGGAAGAAGUGGUGUCAAUUGGCAGGCCCGAACCUCUUCGUUAGAAGCAAAUGGCACACGAAGGAGAGGAAUGUUGCAGUAGGAGAUGUUGUGUGGCUUGCGGAUCAGAACGCCUUAAGAGGUCAGUUCAAAUUAGGCAGAGUGAUCAGUGCAUGCCCUGACGAGAAAGGAGUCGUGAGAGACGUCAAAGUCAGGACGUUUCCCAGCUAUCCAGUCAUGAUCAAGAAGCCAUCCCAUGAAGAACAUAGUAGGAGUACUCCAGCAGCAAAGAACAACAAGAUCCCUGCUACAGUCCUACACAGAGACGUCAGACGUCUUGUUGUGUUGAUUCCUGUGGAGGAGCAAUGAAGAGAAGAUCCGGCACGCUCCAGAGAAACAGGACGUGACCUCCUUGGGUUCUGGAACCAGGAGCUCAAGUGGGAGGUGUGCUGUUGGAUCGCAAGUGGAAAGGGACUUUUGUUUUGAGUGAAAAAAAAAAAGAGACUUUUAUUUUGAAAAGGGAAGUGGAGACUUUACAGUUCUCAUGCCAGAAAGCAGGAAGUGCAGAGCUAUCUUCAAGCACAUGUAGUAAGAAGCUGUGAAGUUUAGCUGAGAAGCACAUGGUGAAUUGUUAUUGAAGAUAAAGGGUGAAGUGGGGAAAGACUUUACUUGCUGGGCAUUUCCAGGGAUGCUACUGGUUUUCAACCUGACGCAAUCUGACAUAGCCUGAUGUAAACUGAUUUAAUCUGAGUUAAACUUCUGAUUAUUUG
Alosa alosa (allis shad) is the source of this 7626-nucleotide RNA transcript. RefSeq lists it as uncharacterized. NCBI's taxonomy places the organism in Eukaryota, Metazoa, Chordata, Actinopteri, Clupeiformes, Clupeidae. The record is from RefSeq and is a predicted model, not a curated record. The transcript has 2 exons.